RNAcentral lists this long non-coding RNA (537 nucleotides) under Heterocephalus glaber (naked mole-rat). Its description in RNAcentral is "lncRNA (ENSHGLG00000039775.1)". The record is from RNAcentral. Lineage: Eukaryota; Metazoa; Chordata; Mammalia; Rodentia; Bathyergidae.
CUCCCUCCUGUGCACUGAGCUCUGUACUGCAGAAUAGACUUAAAAUACUCAUUUUACCAUUCCUAUAAACUUGUGAUUUAUUUCUUAGGUAGCAUGGACUCCAAAAGUCCUUUAAAUCUAUUUGGGUUUUUUUUAUCCUGAGUGGUAUAGACAGAGCAGUUGUUUUCAAAGAAAGAGCAAUAAACACUCAGAGCUGUUAACACUGAAGAGUUGCAGAGACCAGCAUUCAAGGAAGACCAGUGGUUGAGACCAGCACCUGGUAGCAUCGACCUCCAGCAUCGGAUGGUGACAGAUGGCAGCAGCAGUACCCACUAGCAAAAGAAUCCUAGGCUGACUGGCAAGAAAACAACUAGUAUCUUUCCAAAACUAUCUUAACCAUUGAAGAUUUUUAGAAACAGAAUUUUAGUGGGAGGCAUUAGGAUGUGGAAAGACAGAAGUUUACAAGAGUGAAACUUACAAAUCUCAGAGAAGCUCAUCUAGACACCAUCUUGAGGAGAAAAGUGAGAUACAGGAAGAGGUUGCACAACUAGAGAGUCA